GUACAAAGGUGAUCUGGCUAUGAGAGCCAUCACCCCAUUGGUUAGGUGAUUUAACUAAUCUGGCUGGCUAGGCAGAUGUUCCCGUCCUCCCUCACCAGUGCAUGUGUGUCCUUCCUGAAGAUGCGCAUGUGCUUACAGAGAGGACAGCCUUUCCCAAUAGAAGAGCAUCUAUCUUGGGUCAAGGAUCUAUGAGAGGCUCAAUCCCCUGCUAGAACCUCCAAGCAAACUUUGGAAGUCCAUUUGUAGGAGAAUGCAGGGGAGUCAAGUUUUUAGGGUUCCAGAUCCGUUUAAAUUAUGUGCUACAUGCAUCGGUCUGCCUUUUUUU
This 325-nucleotide small nuclear RNA is filed under the name Rattus norvegicus (Norway rat). RNAcentral describes it as "7SK RNA". It matches the Rfam family "7SK RNA". From Rfam's summary of the family: 7SK was discovered as an abundant small nuclear RNA in the mid-70s but a possible function has only recently been suggested. Two independent studies have found that 7SK RNA binds the CDK9/cyclin T complex (known as elongation factor P-TEFb). The record is from Rfam by way of RNAcentral. Lineage: Eukaryota; Metazoa; Chordata; Mammalia; Rodentia; Muridae.